AACGCACAUUGCGCCCUUUGGCAUUCCGAGGGGCAUGCCCGUUCGAGCGUCAUUACACCACUCAAGCCUGGCUUGGUAUUGGGCGUCGGGUCGCACCCGCGCCUCGAACAACUGCGGCUGCGGUCGAACGUCACCCCUGCGUCGUGGGAUUUUUAAUCUGCCGCACCGGGUGGGCGAUUAGCACGCCGUUAAACGUUUCAUUAAGGUUGACCUCGGAUCGGGUAGGGAUACCCGCUGAACUUAA
Molecule: unclassified non-coding RNA, 244 nt
Filed under: uncultured fungus
Lineage: Eukaryota; Fungi
Description: sequence contains ITS2
Source: RNAcentral